CCGAGUUUACAACUCCCAACCCAUGUGAACUUACCACUGUUGCCUCGGCGGGUCAGCGCCCGGUGCGUAAGCCCGACCAGGCCCCCUAGACCACCACUCUUCUGUAUUCCCUCGCUGACGUAUUCUUACCUCUGAGCUAAAUUCUGAAAUGAAUCA
This 156-nucleotide unclassified non-coding RNA is filed under the name soil metagenome. RNAcentral's name for it is "partial internal transcribed spacer 1". The record is from RNAcentral.